UACAGAGGGUGCGAGCGUUGUCCGGAAUCACUGGGCGUAAAGGGCGCGUAGGUGGCGCGACAAGUCAGUGGUGAAAGCUCGACGCUCAACGUCGAGUCGGCCACUGAUACUGUUGGGCUUGAGCACUAUAGAGGCUAAUGGAAUUCCGGGUGUAGCGGUGGAAUGCGUAGAGAUCCGGAAGAACACCGGUGGCGAAGGCGGUUAGCUGGGCAGUUGCUGACACUGAGGCGCGACAGCGUGGGGAGCAAACAGG
Molecule: ribosomal RNA, 253 nt
Filed under: uncultured bacterium
Lineage: Bacteria
Description: partial 16S ribosomal RNA
Rfam family: Bacterial small subunit ribosomal RNA
Source: RNAcentral